This 700-nucleotide ribosomal RNA is filed under the name Enterobacter soli. RNAcentral's name for it is "bacterial SSU rRNA". It matches the Rfam family "Bacterial small subunit ribosomal RNA", at positions 59 to 750 of the family's 1533-position model. The record is from RNAcentral. Lineage: Bacteria; Pseudomonadati; Pseudomonadota; Gammaproteobacteria; Enterobacterales; Enterobacteriaceae.
AAGUCGAGCGGUAACACAGGGAGCUUGCUCCUGGGUGACGAGCGGCGGACGGGUGAGUAAUGUCUGGGAAACUGCCUGAUGGAGGGGGAUAACUACUGGAAACGGUAGCUAAUACCGCAUAACGUCGCAAGACCAAAGAGGGGGACCUUCGGGCCUCUUGCCAUCAGAUGUGCCCAGAUGGGAUUAGCUAGUAGGUGGGGUAAUGGCUCACCUAGGCGACGAUCCCUAGCUGGUCUGAGAGGAUGACCAGCCACACUGGAACUGAGACACGGUCCAGACUCCUACGGGAGGCAGCAGUGGGGAAUAUUGCACAAUGGGCGCAAGCCUGAUGCAGCCAUGCCGCGUGUAUGAAGAAGGCCUUCGGGUUGUAAAGUACUUUCAGCGAGGAGGAAGGCAUUAAGGUUAAUAACCUUGGUGAUUGACGUUACUCGCAGAAGAAGCACCGGCUAACUCCGUGCCAGCAGCCGCGGUAAUACGGAGGGUGCAAGCGUUAAUCGGAAUUACUGGGCGUAAAGCGCACGCAGGCGGUCUGUCAAGUCGGAUGUGAAAUCCCCGGGCUCAACCUGGGAACUGCAUUCGAAACUGGCAGGCUAGAGUCUUGUAGAGGGGGGUAGAAUUCCAGGUGUAGCGGUGAAAUGCGUAGAGAUCUGGAGGAAUACCGGUGGCGAAGGCGGCCCCCUGUACAAAGACUGACGCUCAU